RNAcentral lists this ribosomal RNA (529 nucleotides) under uncultured bacterium. RNAcentral describes it as "partial 16S ribosomal RNA". It matches the Rfam family "Bacterial small subunit ribosomal RNA", at positions 355 to 900 of the family's 1533-position model. The record is from RNAcentral.
UGGGGAAUAUUGCACAAUGGGCGAAAGCCUGAUGCAGCAACGCCGCGUGAGUGAUGAAGGUCUUCGGAUUGUAAAGCUCUGUCUUUUGGGACGAUAAUGACGGUACCAAAGGAGGAAGCCACGGCUAACUACGUGCCAGCAGCCGCGGUAAUACGUAGGUGGCGAGCGUUGUCCGGAUUUACUGGGCGUAAAGGGUGCGUAGGCGGAUGUUUAAGUGAGAUGUGAAAUACCCGGGCUUAACUUGGGUGCUGCAUUUCAAGCUGGAUAUCUAGAGUGCAGGAGAGGAGAAUGGAAUUCCUAGUGUAGCGGUGAAAUGCGUAGAGAUUAGGAAGAACACCAGUGGCGAAGGCGAUUCUCUGGACUGUAACUGACGCUGAGGCACGAAAGCGUGGGUAGCAAACAGGAUUAGAUACCCUGGUAGUCCACGCCGUAAACGAUGAGUACUAGGUGUAGGAGGUAUCGACCCCUUCUGUGCCGCAGUAAACACAUUAAGUACUCCGCCUGGGAAGUACGAUCGCAAGAUUAAAAC